UAACAGGGGUGUCCUUCUACCAUGCAACACCUGAGGGUUUCAGGUGAUACAGGGUAACGGGGCUGAGAUCAUACCCUUUGAACCUGUUCGGGUCAUGCCGGCGUAGGAAGUGC
Molecule: non-coding RNA, 113 nt
Filed under: bovine gut metagenome
Source: RNAcentral